This 468-nucleotide long non-coding RNA is filed under the name Gossypium barbadense (sea-island cotton). RNAcentral's name for it is "long non-coding RNA (GBAR_LNC012237)". The record is from RNAcentral. Lineage: Eukaryota; Viridiplantae; Streptophyta; Magnoliopsida; Malvales; Malvaceae.
GUCUCUUAAACUUCACCUAAAACAAACCCAUCAAUUAACAAUGACAAAACACCAAACACACCUAAACAUAACCAUCACUAACAAGAGAAAUAAAUAACGAACAAAAAUUAGGGAACGAUCAUGCCUUACCUUUAGCACAUACCCCACAAAACAAGGAUUAACUCUUCAAGAAUUAGCAGUAGCAAAAAUUGAAGAAUAAAAGAAAGACGAAAUAGAAGGGAAAAAUCAAAUAAAGAAGAAGAUAGAUUUCGAUAGCAAAAAACAGAACAAGCGAUGUGUAAAACAAAUGGGGAAUGAGGGGUAACCAACUUGAAACAAAAAGUUGGAGCAGACUUAGAGAGAAUCAAGGAAAAAUAAAAUAAAAAUAAAAUAAAACCAAAUAAAAUAAUGGUCUUUUUAUUUUUCUUUUAUUAUAGUAAGAUAUUCAAACAUAUCCCAGUACCUAAAAAACCACACAAUAAGGUCGGC